AGAGUUUGAUCCUGGCUCAGAUUGAACGCUGGCGGCAGGCCUAACACAUGCAAGUCGAGCGGAUGAGUGGAGCUUGCUCCAUGAUUCAGCGGCGGACGGGUGAGUAAUGCCUAGGAAUCUGCCUGGUAGUGGGGGACAACGUUUCGAAAGGAACGCUAAUACCGCAUACGUCCUACGGGAGAAAGCAGGGGACCUUCGGGCCUUGCGCUAUCAGAUGAGCCUAGGUCGGAUUAGCUAGUAGGUGAGGUAAUGGCUCACCUAGGCGACGAUCCGUAACUGGUCUGAGAGGAUGAUCAGUCACACUGGAACUGAGACACGGUCCAGACUCCUACGGGAGGCAGCAGUGGGGAAUAUUGGACAAUGGGCGAAAGCCUGAUCCAGCCAUGCCGCGUGUGUGA
This 398-nucleotide ribosomal RNA is filed under the name uncultured bacterium. Its description in RNAcentral is "bacterial SSU rRNA". It matches the Rfam family "Bacterial small subunit ribosomal RNA", at positions 8 to 408 of the family's 1533-position model. The record is from RNAcentral.